RNAcentral lists this ribosomal RNA (253 nucleotides) under uncultured bacterium. RNAcentral's name for it is "partial 16S ribosomal RNA". It matches the Rfam family "Bacterial small subunit ribosomal RNA", at positions 524 to 776 of the family's 1533-position model. The record is from RNAcentral.
UACGGAGGGUGCAAGCGUUAUCCGGAUUCACUGGGUUUAAAGGGUGCGUAGGCGGAUGGGUAAGUCCGUGGUGAAAUCUCUGAGCUUAACUCGGAAACUGCCAUGGAUACUAUCGAUCUUGAAUAUUGUGGAGGUAAGCGGAAUAUGUCAUGUAGCGGUGAAAUGCUUAGAUAUGACAUAGAACACCAAUUGCGAAGGCAGCUUACUACGCAAUGAUUGACGCUGAGGCACGAAAGCGUGGGGAGCAAACAGG